ACGCGCGGAACCUUACCAGGUCUUGACAUCCUCUGACACUCCUAGAGAUAGGACGUUCCCCUUCGGGGGACAGAGUGACAGGUGGUGCAUGGUUGUCGUCAGCUCGUGUCGUGAGAUGUUGGGUUAAGUCCCGCAACGAGCGCAACCCUUGAUCUUAGUUGCCAGCAUUUAGUUGGGCACUCUAAGGUGACUGCCGGUGACAAACCGGAGGAAGGUGGGGAUGACGUCAAAUCAUCAUGCCCCUUAUGACCUGGGCUACACACGUGCUACAAUGGAUGGUACAAAGGGCAGCAAAGCGGUGACGCCUAGCAAAUCCCAUAAAACCAUUCUCAGUUCGGAUUGUAGGCUGCAACUCGCCUACAUGAAGCCGGAAUCGCUAGUAAUCGCGGAUCAGCAUGCCGCGGUGAAUACGUUCCCGGGCCUUGCACACACCGCCCGU
RNAcentral lists this ribosomal RNA (439 nucleotides) under uncultured bacterium. RNAcentral describes it as "bacterial SSU rRNA". It matches the Rfam family "Bacterial small subunit ribosomal RNA", at positions 959 to 1397 of the family's 1533-position model. The record is from RNAcentral.